ACAGAAGGCUACGGUCACAGUGGUCCAACAGAGACUGGAAAAUUGAACUCCAAGUGUCAGACUGAGUUAGCAGGGUUGUUCGAAGAGAGCCUUCUACUCCAUGGGCCUAAUUGUGACUGGGAAAUACGCUGUCUAAUACAGGGUCACCUGGCAAGACGAUAAAUGGGCCUCUUAUUCAUAAACCGUGACCACAAAAUUUUAAUGAGGACAUCAUGAAUGAAGAUCAGAAUUAUCCCAAGGGCUCAGGGAAAUGAUUUCAACCUUUCUGGGAGCACUUCCUAUUCAUUUGCGAAGGCCUUGAUGAGAUAAAAGCAUUUGACACCCGAGAGCCACAAAAAUGAUGGAGAGGACAGAGGCCUGGUUUACGAGGGGACAUUAGCGGCAAUAAAGCUCUGCUAAUAACCCUGGGUGAGGCAAGCACCCGGGCAGAUUACAGCUGCGUGCGCCAGCCUGAUGUGCAGGCCCUGGGAUGAGAACUUGGCCUCUGGAAGAUGGAGAAAUGUUGAAAUAUGACAUGAAUGGAGAUACAAAAAGUGAGUUUUCAGAGCUGUGCACACACAAACUAAUGCACAGCCAUGGGUAACUGGAUUUCCAACAAAACUUGGGAAGGAAAAACAAGAGACAAAAAGGAGAGAAAGAAUGAAAUAAAGAACAGAGACACCAGGGUCAAGGCAGGGACAAGCUUGGGGCAGAGGCUGCCCCCAGAGUCACAGUAUAUACUCCAAGCCUCCUGGGCCACUAGCUGCAGACUGGGCACGGACACAGAAAUGCAUACCCCAGAAGCUGAGAUAAAACCAACUCACCGAUAUGCCGGCUACUCCUGGGGGACCCACUGGGCCUCGAUCUCCCUGUUGGGAUGAAGAUACAAAUGGCUACUCAUAA
This is a long non-coding RNA of Rattus norvegicus (Norway rat), 882 nucleotides long. RefSeq lists it as uncharacterized. NCBI's taxonomy places the organism in Eukaryota, Metazoa, Chordata, Mammalia, Rodentia, Muridae. The record is from RefSeq and is a predicted model, not a curated record.